RNAcentral lists this ribosomal RNA (507 nucleotides) under uncultured bacterium. RNAcentral's name for it is "partial 16S ribosomal RNA". It matches the Rfam family "Bacterial small subunit ribosomal RNA", at positions 30 to 523 of the family's 1533-position model. The record is from RNAcentral.
AUUGAACGCUGGCGGCAGGCCUAACACAUGCAAGUCGAGCGGCAGCGGAAGGAAGCUUGCUUCCUUGCCGGCGAGCGGCGGACGGGUGAGUAAGGUAUGGGGAUCUGGCCGAAGGCGGGGGAUAACCACUGGAAACGGUGGCUAAUACCGCACAAUCUCUAAGGAGCAAAGUGGGGGACCGUUCAGGCCUCACACCUUCGGAUGAACCCAUAUGAGAGUAGCUAGUAGGUGGGGUAAUGGCUCACCUAGGCGACGAUCUCUAGCCGGUCUGAGAGGAUGAUCAGCCACGCUGGGACUGAGACACGGCCCAGACUCCUACGGGAGGCAGCAGUGGGGAAUAUUGCACAAUGGGCGCAAGCCUGAUGCAGCCAUGCCGCGUGUAUGAAGAAGGCCUUCGGGUUGUAAAGUACUUUCAGUCGUGAGGAAGGUGUUAAGGUUAAUAACCUUAGCAAUUGACGUUAGCGACAGAAGAAGCACCGGCUAACUCCGUGCCAGCAGCCGCCGCCG